This 377-nucleotide unclassified non-coding RNA is filed under the name uncultured Candidatus Midichloriaceae bacterium. RNAcentral's name for it is "contains 16S-23S intergenic spacer region". The record is from RNAcentral. Lineage: Bacteria; Pseudomonadati; Pseudomonadota; Alphaproteobacteria; Rickettsiales; Candidatus Midichloriaceae.
UCCGGCUUAUCACCGGCAGUUUCCUUAAAGUGCCCGGCCUGACCCGCUGGUAACUAAGGAUAAGGGUUGCGCUCGUUGCGGGACUUAACCCAACAUCUCACGACACGAGCUGACGACAACCAUGCAACACCUGUGAUAGUCCGGCCGAACCGACCAGUUAGUUUCCUAACCGUACGACUAUCAUGUCAAGACCUGGUAAGGUUUUUCGCGUGACAUCGAAUUAAACCACAUGUUCCACCGCUUGUGCGAGUCCCCGUCAAUUCCUUUGAGUUUUAAUCUUGCGACCGUACUCCCCAGGCGGAGUGCUUAAUGCGUUAGCUACGACACCGAAACUAAUGUCCCAAUAUCUAGCACUCAUCGUUUACUGCGUGGACUAC